AGCAGCGGGACGCAAGCAGAUGCCUGCCCUUGGCUGUCUCCGAACUUCUCUGUUGCAAGUGGAUAAAUCUCAACCUGUGGCGCCCCCCACACAGGAAGACACCUGGAUUACCAGCCAAACUCAGACCAUGGAAUGCCCUACCAGAUAUGGAAUGCCUUUUUAAUAUCUUUUCUGUGACUGUGACACUUCAUGUGAAUGACAUACUUCACAAGUACACUCGAUACCUUGCCUGCUGACAGCUACCCAUAACCCUUUUUGAGUCCUGUUUCAGCGAGAUCCAUGUGUUUAAGUUCAAUUUUGUAGCACACGAAUAAUAUUGAGUAAUUUCUAGUUAGACGCUGUAAACCUGUGCUAUUAUGGAUUUCUCUUCUUCCCGUUUUUACAGGGCUGCUCGCUCCACUGUCUGUGACCUUUUGCAGGGGUUGUGUUCCUCUAGAUCUUACGUGUGGUAGUUGGCUUAGUUCGGAGAGCAAUCAGGGAAUCAGGAAGCCUCCUAAACCUAUUAUUACAAAUUGCACCUAUAAAGAUUAAGAUCGUUGUCUCUGGCUCACAUAACCGAUUAAACACACAUAUACACUCUAUCCAGUAGCAGAUUCUGUGCUCCCAGGGUUGGCAUUGCCUGGGUGGGAAGAGGUCAAACACAAUCCAUGGGACGGUCUCUAAGGUACGUGUUUGACACCCCCUCUAGUUUCUCUGUGUGUGUGUGUGUUUUAUACAUAUCACAAGCUUACUGGUAAUGGUAACAUUUGCCUUGCCCAGCGAGCAAGACCCACUGGUUUUUGAGAAUGUGGGUCCAAAGAAUUCUGUAGGCCUUGUAGGCCUGAUUAAGGUUCAUUUUUCAUCUAUUAAUCCUCAUUAUUGGGAAAAAAAAAGGAAAAUAAUAACAACCAAAACAACAACAAAAACAAC
This 909-nucleotide long non-coding RNA is filed under the name Marmota monax (woodchuck). Lineage: Eukaryota; Metazoa; Chordata; Mammalia; Rodentia; Sciuridae. The record is from RNAcentral.